AUUGACAGGCUUCCGAUUAAUCGUCCCAUCGAUUAACAGUUUAAGAUUUAUACGCAGUUCGAUUAGUCGAUUAAUCGGCUGAAAUUAGUCGAUUAAUCGGAAAUUUUAGGUUAUAUCAAUUAUUCAAUUAUCAAGGCGGGAAUUGCAUCCACAUAAAGCAUGGAAAGGAAAUGAUAAUUGUUAUCACAGGAAGAAGCAACCUCGUCUUUUGACUUUACUUUUCUUCUUUAAAAAUUGUUUGACAACCAAUUCUCUCCUUCCUUUUAAUUGCCAUUCAGUUCAGUUGCUAUACGUUUGAUACAUUAUGGCAUCAGAAGAAGCAAUUACUCAAGCAUUUGAUGAAGCCAUUGACUGGGUUCUUAAAUCUUCAGAUUUGGUUUCAGAAUAUUUCGAAGGAGAUGAAAAAAAUCAGAUUCUUUCUGAGCUGGGAAAAACGGUGGAAGAACUUUGUGCCACAGAUAAGCAAUUCAAAGUCAGUUGUAAAUGUCUUUCCAAACUGGAAGAAACCGAGGGUCAUUGUACAUAUGAUGAGCUGAAAACAGCAUUAAAAGAAUCACUUGAGAAAAAUAGAGAAAAAGGCAAACUAGACUUCAAGAAACAUGAACGACACAUAGAAUGGAAGGAAAAACUGAAUGCAGCCGUAACAGAGAAUGCUGGUAAGUUUCAGAAGCAGUUCGAUACCAUCUCAUGUGAAAAAGUCGUUCCGGAAUGA
This 712-nucleotide long non-coding RNA is filed under the name Bemisia tabaci. RNAcentral describes it as "lncRNA ENSASIAIIG007132". The record is from RNAcentral. Lineage: Eukaryota; Metazoa; Arthropoda; Insecta; Hemiptera; Aleyrodidae.